UCUUAUUUCUUUAGCUGGUAUUUUCUCAGUGCUGUCAAUGCAAGACGUUGCAGACGUUAGAUCUUCUCCACUACUGACCUUCACCAUAUGUCGCAGUGUCAUGGCACAUGAUGAACCAUCCUGUACCACUGGCUAAUGAUGGAGCACCAGCUUCUUCCUAGUGAUCACUGAAACUAAGAGCAGCCCCAGGAUUACGGUGGUUAUGAAUUGUGCAGCAUCUCUGUAGAACUGGAGCUGUGGUUUUACUGAAGUAUUAUGGACAUUACACCAUUACGGACUGGGCAGCAUCCUCUGUGAAGGGAUGCCAUGUUUCUGAAGGCACCCUGCAGGCUGGGAGGCAGGAUGUGUGCUGGAAUGGAGCUGUGCUAUCCUACUCUCUUCUCCUGAAGGUCAGUAACACACGAGUAAGUGCGCUCUUCUGAAAAUAGGCUUUAAUUUUCCCCCCUUCAACCUUUUGAUUGGUUUGACAUUUAAAAGGGCAGAAGGUAAUUGGGAGGUUUAUUAUGUAUUUCUGUUAAGUGCAAGAUGAGAACAUUUAAAUACCUCGGGUAGAAAGUGCCACAAGAAAACAGACAGCUUGCUGGAGAAGGAGACAGCAACCUUCU
Molecule: non-coding RNA, 605 nt
Organism: Coturnix japonica (Japanese quail)
Lineage: Eukaryota; Metazoa; Chordata; Aves; Galliformes; Phasianidae
Source: RefSeq, a predicted model, not a curated record